UAAAACGCUCCAUUCAUCCCAAAUAAAACCUAAAUACUACAAUUACCUCCAAAUCAAAAUCUCCAUUCAUCUCUCUCAAACCUCGCAUGCAGUUCUCACUCUCGUUCACGCCCUCGUUUCCAUUGCUCAGUUCUCACUCUUGCUCUCUUAUAUCUUCGAUUAGGCAAUAUGCUAUGUACUUAGCCACUGUCAAAGAAUUUGUACAGACGGACCAGCCGGGUGGUAGUAGAACUGUUGUGGCUUGAACUUGUUUGGCUUAUUGAUUAGUGGGCUGGAGUUAAGGUGGUGUAGUUAGAUUUGACCUGCGAAGUUUAAUUACAUUGUGCUUGUAUAGCUUACAAGGAGCAAUAUGUUGCAGAGUCUCUCUCAGCAUGCUGAGGUCCUUGAGAUUCUUCUUCAAGGGCCAUGAGAUUAUUUGAUGGAAGAUUCCAGAUUACAAUAAUAUUUGAAAAUGAUGAAUGAAUUGAUCUUUCUUAUACUCAAUAUAUCCAUAAGUUGUGCUUUAAGAUUAUCAAGAUGUGUCAUCUUAAUAUUACAAUUUUUUAAAGGGUUCCUAUAUGUGGAAAAGAUUGUAUUCGAAACUACCUUGACAGUUGAGAUUCUUCUUCAGGGGCUAUGUGGUGUUCAAAGAGAACGAUUGAGGAUCCAUAAAAUAUGUUGCAAGAAAGGUCCAAAUCUCGUGCUUCUUCCCUCAGAAUUUGAUUAUCAGUGUUAGAACCCCACUCUUUCUUCUUAAUGCUGCUUAUGAUUCAUGGCAGAUAACUUUAUCAUAACUCAUAUAAUAUGAUCUAUGAUAGUAUUGAUCAUUAAAUUAUUUGUACUAAACAAUCACGUUUCCAAUUAUAAUCAGAUCCAAUCUAGUUUAGCUCCUCCAUCAACAGAUCCCUAUGGACAUUAGCAUGAUUGCAGAUUAAACCAUGCUAAAUGUACUAGGCCACAAAACCAAUUUUUGCAAGGAAUCACAUGCUGAAUUCUGUUAAAGAUUUCUCAAGAUCAAAACAGAAUGGACUGUUUAUCCAAACCGAGAGGCAUGAUACAUGGUUUUCAGAUAAUUCUCCAGUUGUUGGGAACAAGGUAAUUGCUUUAGCUGUUGGAGACUGGUUUUUGGACUGAGAAGGUGUUACAAUCAUUGAUUGUGAAGGUGUUACAGUCAUUGAUUGUCCUUAUCCUUGUGAUAAUACAUGUCACCAUAUGGUUUUCAGUUGAGCCAAAGUUCAUCCAUCAUCAUCAGUGGAGGAUUAGCUAUUUGAGAAUGUUGGGGAAAAUCCUCUUUGUUUCUUAACACUUAACAUCAUAUGUAUUAUUGAGCCAUAGGAGGGAUCCAACUCAUAUCUAUAGUUAAAGAUGUCUAUCCAAACAAUUAAGAAAAAAGGGGUAAGUUUAUUGAUGUAUUUAUGAGAAUAAUAUAAAUAUACGAGUCAUUUAUAUAGAAAUUUUAUAAUGAGAUAAUCUAGUACAAA
Molecule: non-coding RNA, 1460 nt
Organism: Cicer arietinum (chickpea)
Lineage: Eukaryota; Viridiplantae; Streptophyta; Magnoliopsida; Fabales; Fabaceae
Source: RefSeq, a predicted model, not a curated record